AUGAAACUUGUCGGUUGGAACAGCCGGGAACUCGGGAAUGGCCCGGCGGUUCAGGGCCUCCUCGAUCUGGGGAGGGCGGAGGAUCCCGAUGUUCUUUUUCUAGCUGAAACAAAGAUGACUGUGAGCGAGUUAGAGAAAUUCCGAUGGAGGCUGGGCUGA
This 159-nucleotide ribosomal RNA is filed under the name Triticum aestivum (bread wheat). RNAcentral's name for it is "partial small subunit ribosomal RNA". The record is from RNAcentral. Lineage: Eukaryota; Viridiplantae; Streptophyta; Magnoliopsida; Poales; Poaceae.